Molecule: long non-coding RNA, 652 nt
Filed under: Homo sapiens (human)
Lineage: Eukaryota; Metazoa; Chordata; Mammalia; Primates; Hominidae
Description: non-protein coding PANTR1:18
Source: RNAcentral
GGAGAGCUGGGCUUCGAGGCGUCAGUGUGAAGGGAAGGCUAAGGACGCAUCGGUGCUGGAGAGUUGAGAAUAUGCCUUCCCCUCCACCCCCAACCCAGUCACCUUAUUUGAAAAAAAAUUAAAAAACACCUUUUAUUUAAAAACCUAACCCUGGAAGUUUGCUCGCUGACAUCAGGGGAGCAACGUGAACACAGGAAAAUGGAAAUCAACAUUUGAAACUUUUAAAUGGAAGCUUUAUUGGGGUUCCACAUAUGGAAAACUGCAAAUAGCAGAAGUAUGUGACUCAAUAAAUUAUUCUGGAGUGACCACAUCCUCUAACUGCCUCCCAGGACAAGACGGAGAAUGUGAACAAUGCUCCUGAAGGCCCCUUUCCCUCAAAGAAUCACUGCAAUUGAAGGAAAAAUGCUCCAUGUCCCCUCUGCCAGUUGGUGUUUAUCAAAGGACAACGGAGGAAGAGAGACAAAGUGCCUGGAUGUGUGUGUUAAUCAAGAGUUGUCAGGACCCUGCCUCUAAAAGAAAGCGCUAAAAUGAUGCUUUUGACAAGACUUUUCUCAAAGUGGAUGCAGUCUAAGGGUUGGAAAACAAGGCCCAAUCAGGCUAGGUCUGACUUGUCGCCUGCUUUUGUAAAUAAAGUUUUAUUGGCUCACAGACA